GAGUUUGAUCGUGGCUCAGGACGAACGCUGGCGGUAUGCCUAAUACAUGCAAGUCGAGCGCAGGAAGCAGACUGAAGCCUUCGGGUGGAUGUCUGUGGAAUGAGCGGCGGACGGGUGAGUAUCACGUGGGUAACCUGCCUGUAAGCUUGGGAUAACUCCGGGAAACCGGUGCUAAUACCAGAUAAGAUUUCCGUUCGCAUGAACGGAAAAUGAAAGGCGGCUUUUGCUGUCACUUACAGAUGGACCCGCGUCGCAUUAGCUAGUUGGUGGGUAAAGGCUCACCAAAGCAACGAUGCGUAGCCGACCUGAGAGGUGAUCGGCCACACUGGGACUGAGACACGGCCCAGACUCCUACGGGAGGCAGCAGUAGGGAAUCUUCCGCAUGGACGAAAGUCUGACGGAGCAAUACCGCGUGAGUGAUGAAGGUCUUCGGA
RNAcentral lists this ribosomal RNA (434 nucleotides) under uncultured microorganism. RNAcentral describes it as "bacterial SSU rRNA". It matches the Rfam family "Bacterial small subunit ribosomal RNA", at positions 9 to 422 of the family's 1533-position model. The record is from RNAcentral.